AUGGGGGCCAGGCCUGGGUCUGGGUGGCCUGGCAGGCAGGCAGCCUCUGGCCCUUUGAGCUGCUGUCUCAGGGUGGCUCCAGCCCUGGCCAGAAAGAGGCUGCAAUGGGACUGCAGAAGGGGAGGCUGCCAGGGAGGAAAGGAGGCUGAGGCCACAGCGGGGUUCAGGCUCCCUGGGAGGACAGGGCACCCGGGGAGGCCUGAGGGGGUGAGAAAGGACCGCGGGCUCAUUGAUGUAUGGCGACAGGUCUGGGGUGAAACCAGUUCAUUACUGUGGGACGAGUUGCCAAAACCCUGGCCACCUCAGCUUCCUCCUCUAGGCAGCCGUCGAGGCCCAGCGCUGGUGGAGAGGAAGACCCCGGAGGCUCUGACAGGAAGGACCUGGACUGCACUACCACCCCGUGCCACAAGAACAUCACAGUUCCUGUCCCAACCCAGGUACCAAAGCCCUCCAAGCUAUCUGUGGGGUUCCGCACGGCAGAGUGGGGCGGCCUCCAGCCCAGCACUGGCUCUUUGUGCCACAGUCCCCAAAACCUUUCCCGGACACCCGUGUCAUCACUCUUUCCCCCCUGCAGCUAAGCUCAGUCCAGGGCUCCUAGGAGAGAACAGAAGCCGUGCUCACACCUCCCCAUCCCCUGCCAGCCUCCCCCCGCAGGACAGCUGUCCUGUGCCCCUCAGGCCGGAGCCGGCCUCCCCAAGGCCCAUUGAGGUUGCCUUAUUCUCCAGCCCGGCCCGACCUCUGCUGAGGAAGCCAGCACUGCCCUCCCCCUGGUGACUCCUGGCCACAUCUGAUGUCCAGAUGACCCAGAGGCCUGUGCCUGCCACCAUCUCCCCGGCCUGGCCACUCCUUUUCCUCUGUCCAUGCACGGUGCCAGUCUGACCCCCAGGACCACCGUUGGCAUUUUUGGCGCCAUUCGUAUUAUUACAGCUGUCUGGGCAGCGCAGAUACUUCUAAAAGUAUGUAGACCUACAAUGAUGUAUGUGAUUUAGGAAAGAUCCCUCUCCACACCUCUCCUAUGUGUGCACGUGUGUGUAUUCCACACAUGUGUGCAUGUGUAUGUGAGUGUGCCCCGGCCUGUGUACCCUAAUUAAACAAGCUAAGCUAUGUAAGCUGAUUCUAAGAUGCCUUUUAUUACAGCGUCUAUUUCCAAAAUGUCUUAAUAUAUAGCCAUUCGGAUGAAGACAUAGACCAUUUUCGGCCCAAUUAUCUUUUCUAAGUUUUUUAUUUUGAAAAUGAUUCAACUUAGAAAAUCCUUAGGAGGGAUUUAGCUCGGUGGUUCUGCUGCCUGCUUCGAAAGCACAAGGACCCAAGUCUGAUCCCCGGUACAAAAAAAAAAAAUCCUCCGGAAUAGCACAAUGGACUCCCCCAUCCACCUCACUCUCUUUCCCCACAAGCUUUUAGCAUGGGGCGAAUUAAUCAUCUUCUCUCAUAUCGCAGCUAUUAUUUCCCUGAAUUCCUGGAGAGGAAGUUCCUGACCCUGCCCGCUAUUCCUAAACAAUAAGAACUGUCUCCCACGUUAUCACGCGCAUGGCCAUGAAACUCCGGAAGUUAGCAUAGAUAAAAUGCUACUAUCGAACCCUUAGGCUCCAUUCCAAUUUCUCCUACAGUCUUAAUAGCAAUGAGCAACCAAUGAUUUCUACAGUUAUGUAAAAUAUGUAAGAUUUCAACCCCGGUGGUUCAUGGAG
This is a long non-coding RNA of Fukomys damarensis (Damara mole-rat), 1685 nucleotides long. The record is from Ensembl. NCBI's taxonomy places the organism in Eukaryota, Metazoa, Chordata, Mammalia, Rodentia, Bathyergidae.